UCAAUUACAAUAGAGGUAAGUGUUUUACAAUUUUUUUUGUUGAACAAUAUUGGAAAUAUCUAAAGUCUUACCUUUUGGUCGAGGUGUCGAAUUCAAAUUAGUAUCUUCUUCCCAAUAAUUUCUCGAUAAUGGAAUAAGUUGGUUCAACUGAGAAGAAACAGGAUACUCGAUGAUGGACGAUUCGGGUCGUUGCUUGUCGCAUUAGCCUGAAAAUAAAUGAAGAUAUUCAAAAAUUAAUAAAUUUAAAAACUAAUUUAAAAACAUUUAUUAAACUCACAUGUAUAUUGUCAAUUAACCGUUGUUCCAUCAUUUUAAAUCGUUUUUCGUUUUCUAUUUCGAACGCUUCCAUUCGUUUUUCAACGGCUUUGGAAACUGACAAUUCAAAUUCUUCAGUGUUGUGCUUCUCAGUUUCCUCAUUGCUCAUUUUCUUUCUCCUCUUAUUUGAUAACAUAGAGUCAUUGCCAACUCUAAAUCCCAGAAUGCGCCCAUUUUUCUUUCCCUUUGAUGCUUUCAGCCAAGGUCCAAUAUGAUCGUUUUUAAACAGAGGCUUCGUAUGAAAUGUAGUUGAAC
This 570-nucleotide long non-coding RNA is filed under the name Zostera marina. Its description in RNAcentral is "long non-coding RNA (ZMAR_LNC001015)". The record is from RNAcentral. Lineage: Eukaryota; Viridiplantae; Streptophyta; Magnoliopsida; Alismatales; Zosteraceae.